RNAcentral lists this long non-coding RNA (2299 nucleotides) under Bemisia tabaci. Its description in RNAcentral is "lncRNA ENSSSA3NGG006092". Lineage: Eukaryota; Metazoa; Arthropoda; Insecta; Hemiptera; Aleyrodidae. The record is from RNAcentral.
GUCUAGACUAUGGUGGUGAUUCGAACAGUCAAGCAGUGUACACCAGCAAUAUGGCAAUGCGGCAAAGUCUUUCAAAUUUAGCUUCAGACAAAGUUCGCUCCGCACUGAGUUCUUUGUUGAAGAAUGCUAAUUUACCUGCUCUCGUUCCGAAUGGCAAUGCAGGUGGUUUCUGAGCUGCUGGAGUUGGCUUUUGCUGAUCGGAAGAAGAACCUUUGCAAGUCGUCACGUCAGCGGAUCAUAUUAUCACUCAGAAUCUCUGUGUUGAUGAAACUGGAUGUGCUGAUCGGUGUCGUGUUGCUGAAAAUUCGUUGCUCUCUGUUGCCAAAGAACGCUCUCUUCUUGACACAAAGUGUUCUGAAUUACAAAGAGCUUUAUUGAGGUCGGUAUUCUUCAGUUUGCUACUUACUGCAAUAUCUUAUUAACUUUAUUAAUCUAAGUAUAUAACUCUACAAAAAGAAAAGAGAGAAAAUAAAUAAGAAAAAAUGAAUUUAAAAUUUUCAACUGAGAGUAGAAUUUUUUAUGUAGCAAAGAACCAAUUCAAUACCUGUCUAUUUUUAAUAGAACAGCUUUUCAGUUUGUCAGCAACUGUAAUAUGCAUACUCAUUUAAUAAAAAGAAAUUAUUUUAAAUGGUAAGUAACUUUAAGACAGAUACCAUACUCCCAGGCAAUCAUCCUUCCUUUCAAUGCCUUAUCAAUUCAUUCCUUUUUCUCUGUCAGUUUAUUCCAGUUUUUAUUAUUGCAAUUCCUUUUUUGUUAUUUUUUCUAGUGAGAAGGCAAAGAAAUGUUCUCAGUGCUCAGACCUUCAAUGUCAGGUGGCUUCCCUCAAAGAGAGCUAGCAGAAAAGACAAAACCUUGCUCUCAAUGUAAACAACUGCAUAUUAAACUCAGGAACAAUAAAAAAUUUUAUCAAGAGAAACAAGAAAAAUGGAGACUUGCCUUUAAUAAUUUCCUUGAAUCUCGUCUUUUCUCUGAAGAAAAAUGCAACACUGCCAUGAGCUAUGUGUCUCAAAUGAUACCAUUUGACGAAGAUGAAGCUGAAGGUAGCAUUGAUAGCAAAAGCGUCCUCCAACAAAAGGCUACUGUUGAUACACCGAAACGAAAGUCUCCUUGUUCUGACGUAGAAUUGGAUCCUGGGAGUAGGAAGCGUAAAUCUCCCUGCAUUGAGACAGAAGAAUCAAUGGAACCGUCUGUGUCCCAUCAGCCGAAAAAAACUGUUGAAAAAAAAGGAAGAAAUGUAGAAGAUUCAAAAUUCACAAGUAAACCGUCCAGUAGCAAGGAGGCGCCGGUGAAGAAACCUGAAGUUAAAAUAGAGCCACAGGGUUUGAAUAAAUAUAAUAUUAUCGUGCCCGAAACACUGCCUAGUGAGCCUAUCUGUCCAGUUGUGGAAAAGAAAAGAAUUAUCAUUCCUGAGACUUUAUAUCCAGAAGAUGAUUUUGUGGAACCGAUGUCUGAGGAGCAUAAAACACCCAAAAAAGAGCCAACGAAUGGUGAAGAAGACAACAGCCCUGUUCUAAGUGUAUCAAAAAAACCUGGAAAACCAUUGAUCAGUGCACCAGCUGAGGAACUCAAAGUCAAAGAAGAAGAGCUCGAAACUGUAGAGAAUGAGCAAAUAUCUCCAUUAACAGCCCAUCCUAAAAGUCCCUCAGUGCUGGCAGUCGAAGAGAAUCCAUCAAUUCACCCUCUGCUUGAAUCCAAAGAUCGAAAAGUGUUGGAUGAGUUCUUUGAUGAAAUUGAAAAAAAUGCUGGUAGCUCGAGGAGAAGCAAGACUUUUAGCAAAGACAACUUAAAAGUCUCCAGCACUGAAAAGUCUAAGGCUAAAACUGAUAUGAUAACUCCUCAGAAAAAGUUAGCACUUGGAGAAAAAAGCAGCACUGAAAAGUCUAAGGCUAAAACUGAUAUUAUAACUCCUCAGAAAAAAUAGCUCUUGGAGAAAAAAAUGUCUGGUCUUUACACAAGCCUCCUGGUUUUGAUCAAAAGAAAAAAGAGGAAAAAAUCUGCCCCAAGAAAAUGAAGCAAACAACUCUAUCCGUUGUCACAGUACCUAAGAAUCAAGACGUUUCGCAUAAUGAUAGUUUUAAUGGUGGCGUACUGGCUGAAGUUAUGAAUGAUGAAAACGAUGACUCUGAUGAUAGUGAGUGUUUGAUUCUACCAAGUCCAAAGAAUGACACUCGCAACUCGUCAAGAUGUGAAAGCAAAAAUUGAAAACUGAAAGCAAGUAAGUCUUCUUAGAUAAGUUUGAAUCUAAUGAGCUUUUUUCUUUCAUCUUUAGUCAAUUUUAGCAUCACCUCAGUGCGAAAUA